GCCCUAGUAGCUUACCUUAAAGCAUUGUUCUUGUAAACCAAAGACGGAUCACCCCCCCCUAGAGCA
Molecule: transfer RNA, 66 nt
Filed under: Bungarus fasciatus (banded krait)
Lineage: Eukaryota; Metazoa; Chordata; Lepidosauria; Squamata; Elapidae
Description: tRNA-Thr
Source: RNAcentral